Long non-coding RNA from Homo sapiens (human), 358 nucleotides. RefSeq lists it as uncharacterized. The transcript has 3 exons. NCBI's taxonomy places the organism in Eukaryota, Metazoa, Chordata, Mammalia, Primates, Hominidae. The record is from RefSeq and is a predicted model, not a curated record.
GCCGAGCAUCUCCUCAGAGAGAGAGAGAGUCCCAACUGGCUUAGCCAUUCAACAGGGACUAGUUUCAUCCCUAUAGAUCCAAGUGCAUUCCUUAUUUAAUAAACCAGUGAUUGCAGAAUGAGACUUCUGACUGUCCAGUUUGACUGAAUUCAUGGAGCAUCUUAGAAUGGAGAUCAAACAUCUGCAGAGGAACAGAAUGUGAAGAACAUCUCACGAUAUUCACAAAUAGAUUAUCACUAAUCAUCUUUAAAGUAGAGCAGUGUGUUGACAGAUUAAGUCUACGUUUACUGCUAUUCCUCCAGCUCUUUAUUUAAGAAAGCAGCUUGCUCACAGUAAUUAGUUUGCCACGGGAAGGAUG